RNAcentral lists this transfer RNA (69 nucleotides) under Simulium lundstromi. RNAcentral's name for it is "tRNA-Gln". Lineage: Eukaryota; Metazoa; Arthropoda; Insecta; Diptera; Simuliidae. The record is from RNAcentral.
UAUAUUUUAGUGUACGAAGCACAAAAGUUUUUGAUACUUUAAGGAAUAGUUUAAUUCUGUUAAAUAUAA